GACUCCUCCAUCGGCUGUUCCUUCUAGUAGUCACUUGGGGAUGUCUGGGCUCAGAACAGUUCCCAUUUUUGCCAAGGAGUGGGUGACGUGGGCAGCCAGUGUGUCCCUCUCAAGGGUGGUGGCCUCCCCUCCCCCAACACCAGGCCUAGUUUGGGCCUGUAGUUUCGUUUGGUUAGGGAGGCCUGGCUGCUUGUGGGCCCAAAGAGAAACAUCUCUGCCUUGGCAUGUAGCUCUGAGUCAACAGGCCUUGAUAAACAGCCCAUUUCCCAGGGCCAGCGAGGAACAAAGCCCCUGGCUGCUGUGGGAUCUCUCUGCCCCCCUCUUCCUGAAACAGCUGUUUAUUCUUUUGACAGGAGUUGGAGGGCAGCACCUUCCCUUCCUCCAGCCCAGCCUCCUUCUGUAGAGCGGAGCUCAAUAGAACUGUGUUGUUUUGCCUUUUACUCUGCGGGGAGAGAAGCAGAUGAUGAGGUCAUUAAAAAGGAACCUGGCAAACCUGAGGAUGAGAAAACAAAAGAAAACCUUCCUGGUGCCCAUAAGGUUCAAGUCCUAUGCCUUGCACAUACCAAAAACAGAAAAUAAACUGUCCACUUUCUACAAUGUCCUUCAUCAUGAGGACACCCCAGCUCUUUAUGGAGAAUGCACAUGCACACACACACGCACAUCCACACGCAUGCAGAAAACCAGACUGAACCGACCCAGACCCUAUAAAACCCUGCACUGAAGGUUGAGAGCAUGACCCCCUGCCACCCAUAGGAAACUCUAGCAGCCUACUUGUAUGAUGCUUAGGGGGCCUAUACUUGCAAGUGCUCGCUUACCUGGGACACAUGGAAGGAUAACCUGAUGGCCCGAAUGGGGUUCUUUGGACAUGCCUGAAUGCUGUCUAUGAUUAGAGAAAGCCGACAAUGAGACCAUCCAAGGGACCAGAACCUAAGAAGCCCUCUGGUUCCAUCAGGAAAGCGCCAACUUUUGGGGAGGAACCAAUUCUCAGCUCCGUUGAGGAGAUACUCUGGUAUUUGGUUGGUUUGUUGCUACAGCUUUUGGUAUCUUUGCAUGAAACCAGCCCUGUUCUGAUUGGAAAUGGAAAACAACGGAUGGAUGGGAUCCAUAUGGGGUCACGCUACCUGGCAACUGGAGUUGUUUUCAUUAAAGGGGGAGAUUGGAACAUUGGGUCUUUCAUGACCUCUCCACAAGUAGGAGUGAGACAAAGGCUAGAGUUCAUUGGCAUCUUGUUUGUGUCCAUGUAUCCAUAUGUGUUCUAUGUGGAAGAAGUUUCCUCUGCCUCCAGAUGCCAUUGCAAACAACAGUUUGUAAAGGAACUGUAGCUCAUAAGUUGAAAGGCAGGCAUGGGUAAAAAUUGGGCACCAUACAGCUCAGAAAGAUAAAGAUGAGCCCCAGUGUUUUACAAGUUCCCAUGAUCUGGGAUGAAAUUCCUUACAUUUGGGAUGCCUGGGUGGCUCAACAGUUAAGCUUUUGCCUUUAGUUCAGGUGUGAUCCUGGGAUCCAGGAUCGAGCCCCACAUUGGGCUCCUUGUGUGAAGCCUGCUUCUCCCUCUGCCUGUGUCUCUUCCUCUCUCUCUCUCUUUCUGUGUCUCUCAUGAAUAAAUAAAUCUUUUAAAAAAUACCAAAAACUAAAUCUGCCUCAGGCCUUGCUGGCAGCUCCCCAGCCUCUCCUCCUCCCCUCUUCCUCCCCCUCCCCCUGUUUCUGCACCACUCCUGUGGCUGGAGUGGUCAGGUCAACUCUGCCACCCCAGGUGCCUCCAGCGCCAUUGCCCCCUCCACCUUCCCACCCCCAUCAAGGAGCAAAAAUCACUCCAAGCUGUUGGGCCACCUCCUUCUGAGGUUCACAUUGGAGUACCUCCCAAAUCAGCAAGCAGGAAGAGGCUGGGGCUCUCCUGGACUUAAACUGCCCACGGGAAGCCUGACAGUGGGAGUGGGGAACAAAUCAAUUGACUUUUUAGUGGACAAAGGGGCAACAUAUGGCUUUCAAGCCAAUUCAAAGUUGUUGGUUUAUUUUAAAAAGACGUAUCUUUGGAUAUAUCAACAUCACACAUUAUACAGAUAAUCAGCUUUGUCUCCCCUCCCCCUCCCCCAGUCCCCUCGAGUUGUAAAAUUGCUUGAUUUUUCACUUCUGUCUGCCUUACAAGCCCUUGGGGUGAGCAGUGGGAUGUGGGCACUCCUGUUAGUUUGUGAGCCUAGAAUGGUGGUGAUCGAAAUAGACUCCUCUGUCACCUUUAUACAAAGAAAUCAUGUUUGCUGUAUUGUUAUACAACAGGCACAAAAAAGAAAAUGAGAACGACUUAUGCUCUUGUUCCACCUGGACUGACCCUGACGCUGGAGGGUCCAGGCCGAGGGAGGGCCCUACUCAACUUUGCUGUUACCUUAUUGGAUUAGUUAAAUUGUACCUGUUGUGAUUUGUCCACAGAAACUACUUAAAAUGGCCGAUUUUGUCUGUCUCAUAUACUUUUCAUUGUUAAGACCAAAUAGGUAAAAUAAAAGAAAAAAUGUUAAUAGGUAAACAUUUACAAUAGCUUCCAAAGUCUUUGGUGACCUGAAAUUUGAAGUUGUGCUAGGUUAAUUGAUAAAUUGGGUUGAAUUCAUCAGAUUCCCCUAUCUUUUCAACAUAAGAUAAAAUACUAAAGCAUGAGUCACCCAAGGUGGUUUUUUGUUUUGUUUCAUUGUGUUUUCCUUCCUCUCUCCUUUUUCUUCCCUCCCCACUUUUUUCUUUUUGUCUUUUGUCUUAUUCAGGAAAACUGCAGAUACUUGGGUGUGUUAAUAAACAUGUUUCAUGCUUUCUUAAAAA
Long non-coding RNA from Canis lupus familiaris (dog), 2799 nucleotides. RefSeq lists it as uncharacterized. NCBI's taxonomy places the organism in Eukaryota, Metazoa, Chordata, Mammalia, Carnivora, Canidae. The record is from RefSeq and is a predicted model, not a curated record. The transcript is spliced from 2 exons.